Molecule: transfer RNA, 71 nt
Filed under: Tentoriceps cristatus (crested hairtail)
Lineage: Eukaryota; Metazoa; Chordata; Actinopteri; Scombriformes; Trichiuridae
Description: tRNA-Ile
Rfam family: tRNA
About the family: Transfer RNA (tRNA) molecules are approximately 80 nucleotides in length. Their secondary structure includes four short double-helical elements and three loops (D, anti-codon, and T loops). Further hydrogen bonds mediate the characteristic L-shaped molecular structure. tRNAs have two regions of fundamental functional importance: the anti-codon, which is responsible for specific mRNA codon recognition, and the 3' end, to which the tRNAs corresponding amino acid is attached (by aminoacyl-tRNA synthetases). tRNAs cope with the degeneracy of the genetic code in two manners: having more than one tRNA (with a specific anti-codon) for a particular amino acid; and 'wobble' base-pairing, i.e. permitting non-standard base-pairing at the 3rd anti-codon position.
Source: RNAcentral
GGAGCCGUGCCUGAAAUUAUAGGACUACUUUGAUAGGGUAGAACAUGGGGGUUAAAAUCCCCCCGACUCCU